RNAcentral lists this ribosomal RNA (273 nucleotides) under Amblyomma triguttatum triguttatum. RNAcentral's name for it is "partial 16S ribosomal RNA". Lineage: Eukaryota; Metazoa; Arthropoda; Arachnida; Ixodida; Ixodidae. The record is from RNAcentral.
UAUUUUGACUAUACAAAGGUAUUGUAAUAAGACUUUAAUUGAGUGCUAAAAGAAUGGAAUUACAAAAAAAAACUUUAUUAAUUAUAAUAAUAAAAUUUAAUUUUAUUUGUGAAGAAGCAAUAAUAAAAAUUAAGGACAAGAAGACCCUAAGAAUUUUAUAAAUUUUAUUUAGAUUAAUACUAAAUUUUAAUUUUUUAAUUGGGGCGAUUAAAAAAUAUUAAGAACUUUUUUUUUAAAAAAAAGAACCAUUAUUAGUGGUAAAAUGGAAAAAUA